This 75-nucleotide transfer RNA is filed under the name Candidatus Woesearchaeota archaeon. RNAcentral describes it as "tRNA-Pro". It matches the Rfam family "tRNA". From Rfam's summary of the family: Transfer RNA (tRNA) molecules are approximately 80 nucleotides in length. Their secondary structure includes four short double-helical elements and three loops (D, anti-codon, and T loops). Lineage: Archaea; Nanobdellati; Candidatus Woesearchaeota. The record is from RNAcentral.
GGGGCUGUAGGGUAGCUUGGUUUAUCCUUUCUGGUUUGGGACCAGACGACCCCAGUUCAAAUCUGGGCAGCCCCA